Molecule: ribosomal RNA, 253 nt
Filed under: uncultured bacterium
Lineage: Bacteria
Description: partial 16S ribosomal RNA
Rfam family: Bacterial small subunit ribosomal RNA
Source: RNAcentral
UACAGAGGUCUCAACCGUUGUUCGGAUUCAUUGGGCGUAAAGGGUGCGUAGGCGGCGUGGUAAGUCAGGUGUGAAAUCUCGGGGCUCAACCCCGAAACUGCACUUGAUACUGCCUCGCUUGAGUACUGGAGAGGAGACUGGAAUUUACGGUGUAGCAGUGAAAUGCGUAGAUAUCGUAAGGAAGACCAGUGGCGAAGGCGAGUCUCUGGACAGUUACUGACGCUGAGGCACGAAGGCCAGGGGAGCAAACGGG